RNAcentral lists this ribosomal RNA (468 nucleotides) under uncultured bacterium. RNAcentral describes it as "partial 16S ribosomal RNA". It matches the Rfam family "Bacterial small subunit ribosomal RNA", at positions 28 to 507 of the family's 1533-position model. The record is from RNAcentral.
GACGAACGCUGGCGGCGUGCUUAACACAUGCAAGUCGAACGGAAAGGCCCUGCUUUUGUGGGGUGCUCGAGUGGCGAACGGGUGAGUAACACGUGAGUAACCUGCCCUUGACUUUGGGAUAACUUCAGGAAACUGGGGCUCAUACCGGAUAGGAGUUCCUGCUGCAUGGUGGGGGUUGGAAAGUUUCGGCGGUUGGGGAUGGACUCGCGGCUUAUCAGCUUGUUGGUGGGGUAGUGGCUUACCAAGGCUUUGACGGGUAGCCGGCCUGGGGGGGUGACCGGCCACAUUGGGACUGGGAUACGGCCCAGACUCCUACGGGAGGCAGAAGUGGGGAAUAUUGCAAAAUGGGCGGAAGCCGGAUGCAGCAACGCCGGGGGCGGGAUGACGGCCUUCGGGUGGUAAACCGCUUUCGCCUGUGACGAAGCGUGAGUGACGGUAAUGGGUAAAGAAGCACCGGCUAACUACGUG